GACGAACGCUGGCGGCGUGCUUAACACAUGCAAGUCGAGCGAGCGGCGGACGGGUGAGUAAUGUCUGGGAAACUGCCUGAUGGAGGGGGAUAACUACUGGAAACGGUAGCUAAUACCGCAUACCAUCAGAUGUGCCCAGAUGGGAUUAGCUAGUAGGUGGGGUAAAGGCCUACCAAGGCGACGAUCCGUAACUGGUCUGAGAGGAUGAUCAGUCACACUGGAACUGAGACACGGUCCAGACUCCUACGGGAGGCAGCAGUGGGGAAUAUUGGACAAUGGGCGAAAGCCUGAUGCAGCCAUGCCGCGUGUGUGAAGAAGGCCUUCGGGUUGUAAAGCACUUUCAGCGGGGAGGCGUUACCCGCAGAAGAAGCACCGGCUAACUCCGUGCCAGCAGCCGCGGUAAUUC
This 406-nucleotide ribosomal RNA is filed under the name uncultured bacterium. RNAcentral's name for it is "partial 16S ribosomal RNA". It matches the Rfam family "Bacterial small subunit ribosomal RNA", at positions 28 to 526 of the family's 1533-position model. The record is from RNAcentral.